AUGGGGCGCAGCAGGGGCGAAAACUCCACAAUGCACGAAAGUGUGAUGGGGUUAGCCCGAGUGCUGUCCGUUGAGGAUGGCUUUUCUCUGGUAUAAUUAUCCAGAGGAAUAAGAGGGGGGCAAGACUGGUGUCAGCCGCCGCGGUAAUACCAGCUCCUCGAGUGGUAGGGAUGAUUAUUUGGCCUAAAGCGUUCGUAGCCGGCUUAUCAAGUCCUUCGUGAAAUCCUGCGAUUCAAUCGUAGGGCGUGCGAGGGAUACUGUUAGGCUUGAGGACGGGAGAGGUCGACGGUAGUCCUGGGGUAGGGGUGAAAUCCUAUAAUCCCAAGACGACCACCAGUGGCGUAGGCGGUCGACUAGAACGUGCCUGACGGUGAUGGACGAAAGCUGGGGGAGCGAACCGGAUUAGAUACCCGGGUAGUCCCAGCUGUAAACGAUGCGGGCUAGGUGUUGGGACAGCUACGUGCUGUUCCAGUGCCGCAGGGAAGCCCUUAAGCCCGCCGCCUGGGAAGUACGGUCGCAAGGCUGAAACUUAAAGGAAUUGGCGGGGGAGCAC
This 553-nucleotide ribosomal RNA is filed under the name uncultured crenarchaeote. RNAcentral describes it as "bacterial SSU rRNA". It matches the Rfam family "Archaeal small subunit ribosomal RNA", at positions 325 to 879 of the family's 1478-position model. Lineage: Archaea; Thermoproteati; Thermoproteota. The record is from RNAcentral.